RNAcentral lists this ribosomal RNA (490 nucleotides) under uncultured bacterium. Its description in RNAcentral is "partial 16S ribosomal RNA". It matches the Rfam family "Bacterial small subunit ribosomal RNA", at positions 30 to 507 of the family's 1533-position model. The record is from RNAcentral.
AUUGAACGCUGGCGGCAGGCCUAACACAUGCAAGUCGAACGGUAACAGGAAGAAGCUUGCUUCUUUGCUGACGAGUGGCGGACGGGUGAGUAAUGUCUGGGAAACUGCCUGAUGGAGGGGGAUAACUACUGGAAACGGUAGCUAAUACCGCAUAACGUCGCAAGACCAAAGAGGGGGACCUUCGGGCCUCUUGCCAUCGGAUGUGCCCAGAUGGGAUUAGCUAGUAGGCGGGGUAACGGCUCACCUAGGCGACGAUCCCUAGCUGGUCUGAGAGGAUGACCAGCCACACUGGAACUGAGACACGGUCCAGGCUCCUACGGGAGGCAGCAGUGGGGAAUAUUGCACAAUGGGCGCAAGCCUGAUGCAGCCAUGCCGCGUGUAUGAAGAAGGCCUUCGGGUUGUAAAGUACUUUCAGCGGGGAGGAAGGGAGUAAAGUUAAUACCUUUACUCAUUGACGUUACCCGCAGAAGAAGCACCGGCUAACUCCGUG